CAGGGUGACAGGUGUGCAUGGUUGUCGUCAGCUCGUGUCGUGAGAUGUUGGGUUAAGUCCCGCAACGAGCGCAACCCUCGACCUUAGUUGCCAGCAUUCAGUUGGGCACUCUAAGGUGACUGCCGGCUAAAAGUCGGAGGAAGGUGGGGAUGACGUCAAAUCAUCAUGCCCCUUAUGACCUGGGCUACACACGUGCUACAAUGGGCGGUACAAAGGGUCGCGAGCCCGCGAGGGGGAGCCAAUCCCAAAAAGCCGCUCUCAGUUCGGAUUGCAGGCUGCAACUCGCCUGCAUGAAGCCGGAAUCGCUAGUAAUCGCGGAUCAGCAUGCCGCGGUCGAAUACGUUCCCGGGCCUU
RNAcentral lists this ribosomal RNA (354 nucleotides) under uncultured Anoxybacillus sp. Its description in RNAcentral is "bacterial SSU rRNA". It matches the Rfam family "Bacterial small subunit ribosomal RNA", at positions 1027 to 1382 of the family's 1533-position model. The record is from RNAcentral. Lineage: Bacteria; Bacillati; Bacillota; Bacilli; Caryophanales; Anoxybacillaceae.